GGCUCAGAAAAUGCAACGCAUGCCAGGUGAAAUCCACCCUACUUGCCCAAUAUACCUUGUUUUCGCCGGUUGUCCAUACCCCUUUUUAUAGCCCAUUCAAAUUACGACUAAUUUUUUCGUCGCAGGGGAGAGCACUUAUCGACUAAAGUGUGCGCCAAAGUGGAAUUUUAAAAAACCUUCUUGGCUUUCCCGCUUGGUUUUCUGUGAUUUUCACCACUUCCAGCGCUUUCGGCUCUGGCGAUUGCCAGGACAGUUUCUGUUGUUGCAAGGGGUUUCGGUACCUGGAGGACUUUCAUCAGGUGAGUAUAUUUUUCAAGUCGGAGAAUGAAUUCUUUAAGUAAUUCUAAUUAGCUUUCAUAUUUUUCGCCAAUAUUUGUCCUCUCGUUGUUUCCCAGGUCUUUGUUUGUUCUUCCUUUAGUUUCAAAGAAGCACUUCCAUUACCUGCAACGCUUAUAGUCUAGUCCUGGCCUCGACUGGUCCUGGUAACAUACGUCUGGGAGUUCUUCUUUUCGGCCACCUCUUCUGCCCACAGUUUAUUGAAAUAAUCCUCCAGUUUGUCCACCACAUUGUCGAUAAGAUCUGUGGGGUUUUUGGUGGAUGGAAUCCUCACUCGAAGCCACGCCAUCGCAGAGAUUCAAGGAUCCAACAUCGCUAGGACACACAUCCGACGACUCACUGCAGUCCACGGGGCAGUAAUGGUCCUCGUCCUCUGGUGCCAUAUCUGCUUCAUACGGCCACUUGGGCUUGGGCUGCGGUUGCUCAUCCUCCAAGCAACACCACUUUACCUUGUACGAGUCCUGGCCGCAUUUCCCGUACUGCUCUGCCGUCAGCUGAUCGCUAUUGCUCUCACAGAUGAGAAAGCGACCAUUACACUCAUUGCAGCGCGGCAGGUCACACAGACUACUGGACUUGUGCAGAUGAUAGCCAUCCUUGGGGGUGAGCUUCUUCGGCACCACCUGCUUGGAGCAGCCACGGCAGGUGCACAGUGGGACCUCGAUCGGGCUACAGCGGUCCCUCAUGCGAUUAUAGAGCGCCCUGUAGAUCAUAUCAAUCUGCUCCGCGUAGAACUUGUGCGCCCAAAAGAAGGCCGACUGAUAGUUGUCAAAUAGCUUGGACGUCUCUUUGGCGGCUUUUAUCCAUGCCCGCUCCUGUCUGCGUAUGGCCAUGGCAUCCACAAUCGGAUUACUGAGCGACACCGGUGGCUUCCCGCGGAAGAAUGCCUUAAAUGCACGCUUGAUGAUCGAAUACGACAACACAGCCUCCACGCUUUCCAUCCCGCACGUGAUGCGCAGAGCCUGCAGCAUUUCAUCUCGAUUGAGACGCGAUUCUGGGGCCGCAUUCGGGUUCCACUGUGUCCGCAGCCUUUCGUGGUACACAAAAGCCCGCCUGAUAAUGGCCUUGGCCUGGCAGCUCUUCGUUGUGUUGAUGCCACAGAUCAGCAUUAUGUGUGCGAGGCUCGUGGCAAUGUCCUCCAAGUUGUCGUCGAACAGCUGACGGGAAUUCAACUUCUGUUUGCAAUUGCAAUUGCAGCAGCAGUUGCCUGUGGAAUCCUGCAGUUCCGUGGUUUCCUCGUAUUUAUCCAUUUUUGGAAAAUACAAUUUUGAUUCAAACUUGACAAAUUUUGUUACUAUUCUCGAAUGGAAAUGCUUUGUGCAUAUAAUGAUUGAUUGAUGUAAUGAUAGCCAUAAGUGAUGUUCCAAAACUUGUUCUCAUAGGGUAUAGCGUUUCAUAGCGUAUUAUACGUUUUUUUAACGGAAGGAAUCACAAUUUUCUUUAAAUAAAAAAACCUCAGUUUAGACCUUCAUUAAUUAAAUAUUUUGUUAUAAUGAAAAGAAAAGCUUUUAAAAAAUGAGCCAAUCCUAUAGAAUCUUAUUAAUUUUCGAUUGAUUUUUUAAAAAUCGCUAAAUAAAUCAAAUGAAUUUGUUGAUGUAAAUUCACUUGAUAUUGUUGAUCGUCAAUAUGACAAUCGUAUGCUGAACUAUAAAUGGAUAUGCCAUCGUUUCAUGUAACAAUAACAAAAUUUCGCCGCAAUCUGUACUUGAACAAAUUGAGCUGCGAAGAAGUGCAGUUUGUACGUGUUCCUUUGUUUCUAAAUAUAAUAUUGAUACGAAUAUUUAUUUACAACUAAACAAUCAAAAUAAUCUAACAGUAGAUUAUUUCAAGGGUCAGGUCAAAGAUAUUUUAAUGACGGUCGCCUGUGUUAUCAUGCAUAUGCCGUCCCAUUUUACCAAGUGCAGGCUUCAGUGAUAAUGCCAUAAGUAUCUCAAACUGUGUAUCUACAAAUGCAUCCAGCUGUCCGAUGCAUAAUUGUUAAUGUCAGCGGUGCAGAUUACAUAUUUAGGUAGCUAGGAAAUCUUAACCGUUUAUGGCUAGCCAAAAUCAUACGAUUUUUUACUUUAAUAAAAAUCGUACACUCGCAAUGGAACAGUCGAAUGAAAAUAUAUUGCUGUGCCAAAACUUAUGGAUCCAUAAGGAGCUGUACAUGUAGUUUCACAUAUUCCAAAUUGUAUCUUAUAUUUAAACCAUUGACUCGAUCUGAAGCAGGUUCUUGCUCCCAAAUGCUCCCAUUGCUCACACAUAACGCGGCACAUUGAUGAUCGAAUGCUGCAAAAGAGCAUGCCAGAAAAAAGUAUAACAACAUACAUUGCGUGUGCAUGAUGCUAGAGUCGAAUUUCGCAGAUAGUGCAUUUUUGUUGUCGUUAAUAGACUGCUUUCAAAUUUAAAAAUCCCGCCCACCGCUUGAGCAUUCCUUUAGCUUCUUUCCCAUUCCAAAAACUGGCUUAGAAAUAUUUAUUUGCAAACCAAAUUAGAUUAGAUCCAUUCCAUGUUCCCUACAUAUUUUGGAGAUCGGCACCCAAAGAAACGCAAUUUAAUUUUCCAAUUUAUAGCAACUAUUGCUAAUUUAAUUCGCAGACCUUUGCAUGACGUGUAGAUUAUGAUUGUAUGCAAGAAACAGAUCCUAUUGAACGAUUGUUUGUCGUGAUAGAGUUAGAUAGCAGCUGAUGUCUAAUAUAAAAUGUGUGCAAAUCAAAUGCAUAAA
This is a long non-coding RNA of Drosophila miranda, 3040 nucleotides long. RefSeq lists it as uncharacterized. The record is from RefSeq and is a predicted model, not a curated record. NCBI's taxonomy places the organism in Eukaryota, Metazoa, Arthropoda, Insecta, Diptera, Drosophilidae. The transcript is spliced from 2 exons.